Long non-coding RNA from Prunus persica (peach), 988 nucleotides. RefSeq lists it as uncharacterized. The transcript is spliced from 3 exons. Lineage: Eukaryota; Viridiplantae; Streptophyta; Magnoliopsida; Rosales; Rosaceae. The record is from RefSeq and is a predicted model, not a curated record.
UUCUGCUGAAGCAUAAACCAGAACCAAAUCUGAACAGUAAAGGUGUUACGCAAGGAAUAUGCUUUAAGGGUCAAACCGCAGGAGAAACCAUGAACGAGGAAAAAAACAUUUCUAUCAAUCUUAUGGUCAGCAAAUCCAAGAAAAUGGUUUGUUAUGCAGAAGCAGGGGAGGAUUUUGUCAAUUUACUCUUCAGUUUCCUAACUGUUCCACUUGGGUUCAUACUAAAAGAGAUGCAGGAUGGCUCUUCCUCUACGAAAGGCUGCAUUGAUCAGUUGUACAAGAGUGUCCAAGAUCUUGAUGAGCAAUACUAGUCAAAUUACCACAAGGAAAUUCUACGAACUCCCAAGCUUUAUCCUGGUUUUUGUUAUGAGAACCAUCUUCUAGGAGUUGAGGAUGGCCCGGAAGCCUCAUAUUAUUAUGCACUAUACCGGUCAUUUAAUGGUGACCGGGAAAUAUUGACUAAUGAUGAAACCCUUAUCCCUUAUAGUGCGACGACAGUUCCACUCAAACUGAAGUAUUGCAAAUCCCAAGGCGAUUACAAAAGUGAUGCAGGAUUUUUGAGUAGACCGGCGAUGUUUACAAUAACUGACAGUCUUAUGAUAAGGCCUAUAUCUCCUCUCUUUGGCGUUUCUGUUUUGAACGAAUUGAAAGUGCCAUUCGCAGACAUUGAGAUGCAAACUGUGCAGGUUGGGAAGGAGGAGGCCCUUGGUCUUUUGGUGACCUCUUUUCUUUGUGACUCUGCUCUCACCAGUGUAUUCCUCAGUCACAUUAAAUAAAGAACUGUAUCCCGGAGAGCUCGAUUGCCUAAUAUGAUAAGGCUUUGCAUCUUUUGUUUGUGCCUCUUCUUUAUCAAUACCUGCAUUGGGAGCCGAAGCAAGAAUAAUGAGAGCUUGGUUAAUAUAAGAUCCAUAUGAGGAUCUAUCUUUAGUUCUUUUCAUCUUCUGUUCUAAAAGCUUGUAUUAAAAUAGGACUUUGUUUGCAUGUAGUA